CCUACGUGUGGCAGCAGUAGGGAAUUUUCCACAAUGGGCGAAAGCCUGAUGGAGCAACGCCGCGUGGGUGAAGAAGGUCUUCGGAUCGUAAAACCCUGUUGUUAGAGAAGAAAGUGCGUGAGAGUAACUGUUCACGUUUCGACGGUAUCUAACCAGAAAGCCACGGCUAACUACGUGCCAGCAGCCGCGGUAAUACGUAGGUGGCAAGCGUUAUCCGGAUUUAUUGGGCGUAAAGGGAACGCAGGCGGUCUUUUAAGUCUGAUGUGAAAGCCUUCGGCUUAACCGGAGUAGUGCAUUGGAAACUGGGAGACUUGAGUGCAGAAGAGGAGAGUGGAACUCCAUGUGUAGCGGUGAAAUGCGUAGAUAUAAGGAAGAACACCAGUGGCGAAGGCGGAUGACUGGACGGCAACUGACGGUGAGGCGCGAAAGCGUGGGGAGCAAACAGGAUUAGAUACCCCGGUAGUC
This 465-nucleotide ribosomal RNA is filed under the name uncultured bacterium. Its description in RNAcentral is "partial 16S ribosomal RNA". It matches the Rfam family "Bacterial small subunit ribosomal RNA", at positions 338 to 795 of the family's 1533-position model. The record is from RNAcentral.